UUUCUUUGCUGGCGACCGGCGCACGGGUGAGUAACACGUAUCCAACCUGCCGAUAACUCGGGGAUAGCCUUUCGAAAGAAAGAUUAAUACCCGAUGGCAUAAUAGAACCGCAUGGUUUGAUUAUUAAAGAAUUUCGGUUAUCGAUGGGGAUGCGUUCCAUUAGGCAGUUGGUGGGGUAACGGCCCACCAAACCUUCGAUGGAUAGGGGUUCUGAGAGGAAGGUCCCCCACAUUGGAACUGAGACACGGUCCAA
Molecule: ribosomal RNA, 253 nt
Filed under: uncultured bacterium
Lineage: Bacteria
Description: partial 16S ribosomal RNA
Rfam family: Bacterial small subunit ribosomal RNA
Source: RNAcentral